GAGAAGUGAAGGGAGAUGAGGUCAGAGAAGUGGUGUGGAAUUGGGGAUGAAGGGUGAUCACAUCAUAAGCCAUAUGUGGUUAUUGAACACUUGAAAUGUUGCCAAUGCACCUGAGGAACUGAAUUUUUAAAUUUAAUAGAAUUUUAAUUUAAGCAGUAACAUAUGGCUAGCGUAUUGGUCAGAAAAAUUUUAUACAUUUUCACAGGUUGCUUUAUGGAGAAUAGUAUGUGGAAGCAAAGAGGCAAAAGCAGGGAGAAGCCUUAGGAAUGCAGAUCAAGGCUUAGCAAAAAUUUUUUUUCUUAUAAAGGGCUAGCUAGUAACUAUAUUAGGGUUUACAUUUCCUUUUUCUUGUUUGUUUGUUUUGAGAUCGAGUUUCACUCUUAUCACCCAGGCUGGAGUACAAUGGCGCGAUCUCAGCUCACUGAAACCUCCGCCUCCUGGGUUCAAGUGAUUCUCCUGCCUCAGCCUCCCGAGUAGCUGGGACUACAAGCCCCCACCACCACAUCCAGCUAAUUUUUGUAUUUUUAGUAGAGACAGAGUUUCAUCAUGUUGGCCAGACUGGUAUCAAACUGCAGACCUCAGGUUAUCCAGCCACCUCAGCCGUCCAAAGUGCUGGGAUUACAGGCGUGAACCACUGUGUCUGGCCAGGGUUGACAUUUCAUAGGGACUCUAUGACAACUACUGAAGUAUACUAUUGACAGUAUGUAAAUGAACUAGCAUGGUUGUGUUUCAAUGAAAGUUUAUUCAUUCAUUGGUCAGAUUUGGCCCAUAGGUUGUUGUUUACCAACUCCUGGUGUGAAUGAGAGGUGCGAUGACCAGGCUUAUUUCAAAGGUAGACUUGACAGGAUUUAUUGGUGGAUUGCAUGUGUGGUGUAAAAGACAGAGGAAAUUCAAACAAAUAACUUAAAGGUGUUUGGACUCCACAUUUGACAAAAAGGAGUUGCUAUUCACUGUGAUGGGAAAGACUUGGAUAGAAGCAGAUUUGGGAGAAACUGUUAAAUUUGGCUUGAAGUUUAAGAUGUCUGUCAGUUAU
Molecule: long non-coding RNA, 1033 nt
Filed under: Homo sapiens (human)
Lineage: Eukaryota; Metazoa; Chordata; Mammalia; Primates; Hominidae
Description: HSALNT0129293
Source: RNAcentral